UAUCUAAGACUCUUACUACAACAAAACAAGACUAUAAAAAUUAUGAAUCUGACCAUACCAAAGCUAGGUAUGCAGGAUUGUGAAAUAAGUGAGCUAAUAAUAUCACAGGAGAUUAGCAAAAGCUUUAAACCAUGCUCUCAAGGUAUCUACCCCAAUUGACCUGACCAAAAGCUAUAGAUAAGCUGGAGCCCAUCUUGACUGCCUUCUGUGGAUAAACAGCAUCUCAUAUUUAGUUUAAUAAAGAAGGAAAAGGAAAAACCUAUCAAGGUGAAAAGAAAAACAUCACUUUACAAAACUGGAUUACACAGACCUCAAAAGUAAGUAUUAACUUUAACCAUCAGGGCCAACAGUAAAUGGAAAUAUGAAGAGAGGCUGCCUCUGGCGUGACUCCUGCAAAAAGGGUGCCAGGAGCAUCAGACUCUCUUGACUUCACGAAUUUUUCUCUUGACUUUAAAUCUUCCACAAUCUCUUAGUAUUUGGGGGAUCCCAGUUUUGAACAUAUAUUCACUUUAUGCAUCUGCUCCAUUACCUAAAGCUGAGAAAGCUUCCAGAAGUAUAAUCAGAAUUGCUUUAGUUCCAUCCUAGUUUGAUGGGUCUCAAUUUUUGGUGACCUUGACGGUUUUGAUGUGCAGUCUCACAAUUGUCUUGGUCUCCCUCUUUAUUAUUAUUAUUUGCUUUUAUUGAAAUUUUAGUGAGAUAGUUGUAGGUUUGCAUGAAGUUGUAAGAAAUGGCAGAGAGGUUCCUUGUACACUUUGCCAGUUUCUCCCGAUGGUGACAUUUUAUGAAACUACAUACUAUGAUACAACAACCAAGAUAUUUGAUAAAAUCUAAUGAUCUUAUCCAGAUUUCCUGAGUAUAUAGUAAGCUCUAUAUCAUUCUGUUAAGGGCCUUUAACUCUUGCCAAAUUAUUUGUCCCAAUUUUUUCUUUAGAUGUAGUUCACUUGGGACAUUUUCAAAGUAUAACCCAUCCCACGUUCAACAUGAAUGUUCUGCACCUACCCCAAAUUAGAGACUCAUUGGUUUACUAUUCAUUCCUUCAGUGGUCUACAUCAGCUUUUGCCUCAACAUUAUAAAAGAUGAAUUUUCUUGGACCUAGACAAACAUGAGUCAUCUCUGCGUUAAUCUGCUCCAUUUGGGUAUAAGAUCCAGAUUUUUCAGUUUAUUUGUUCAUGCAAAACACAUUUCCUGGUUGGUGACUGAAUCCUGAAAGUAGUAUUUAAGGAGCUUGGUGUGCAGUGGGAAAAAACAGCAUGAUCUCUGCUCUCAGAAGACUUACCAUCUCCUAGGUGUUCAAGGUUGUGCCAGCAGUAAACUUCUGCUGGAAUCACGUAGCUUCCCUAGGAAUAAUCCAUAUAUUUGAAGAAACAGGAAACUAUCUUAUAAAUGGAAUUCUAAGAGAAAUACUUUCUGACAUUCAAAGUGAUUACGCAGCUAAGUGUGAACUAAGCAAUCCAAGAUUUUUCAAAUUCAUUAUCUUGCUCUUGUGUGACAUUGGCCAAGCUUGAAAGAUAAGUUCGUAGAGUUCUUCUAAGUGGAGAGAAGGUACCACUGCCAUCCUUUCCAACCAGGCCAGAAGAUCUAUGAGGAUAAUAUAACAGGUUGAGACUUGGGGGAAGCUGGAAAGAAACAAA
Long non-coding RNA from Phyllostomus discolor (pale spear-nosed bat), 1631 nucleotides. RefSeq lists it as uncharacterized. The record is from RefSeq and is a predicted model, not a curated record. Lineage: Eukaryota; Metazoa; Chordata; Mammalia; Chiroptera; Phyllostomidae. The transcript is spliced from 2 exons.